AGUGAACGCUGGCGGCGUGCCUAAUACAUGCAAGUCGAACGCGAAAGUCCUUCGGGAUGAGUAAAGUGGCGCACGGGUGAGUAAUACAUGGGAACAUGCCCUUGGAUGGGGAAUAACGUUUGGAAACGAACGCUAAUACCGCAUAAUCUCGCGAGAGUAAAGGUGGCGCCGCAAGGGCUACCGUCCAAGGAUUGGCCCAUGUCCCAUUAGCUAGUUGGCGGGGUAAUGGCCCACCAAGGCAACGAUGGGUAACUGGUCUGAGAGGAUGAUCAGUCACACUGGAACUGAGACACGGUCCAGACUCCUACGGGAGGCAGCAGUAUGGAAUAUUGCACAAUGGGGGAAACCCUGAUGCAGCAACGCCGCGUGAGUGAAGAAGGCCCUUGGGUUGUAAAGCUCUUUAGCGUGGGAAGAAGGUAGAUAUGGUGAAUAAUCAUGUUUGCUGACGGUACCACGAGAAUAAGCACCGGCUAAUUUCGUGCCAGCAGCCGCGGUAA
RNAcentral lists this ribosomal RNA (497 nucleotides) under uncultured bacterium. RNAcentral describes it as "partial 16S ribosomal RNA". It matches the Rfam family "Bacterial small subunit ribosomal RNA", at positions 29 to 523 of the family's 1533-position model. The record is from RNAcentral.